ACUUGGCCAAGUGACUGAGCUAAGUUAUAAAUGCUAAGGUUUCGGAGAGAAGGAUUCACUGUGAAUUGGAGUGGUUUGGGAAGGCUCCAUGAAAAGAGAAGAGAACACUCUGGACUAUGAAAGAAGGGCAAGAUUUGGAAAGAGAGAGGAAGGACUUGCAGCCUAGGGAAGCGGGUCCAUGCAGGAAUGUGCAAGAAACAAGCAUUUCUAUUUUCUUCUGUUUCCUGAUCCCUUUCUUCUGCUGUUGGACUGUUGGAGAGGAGGGCCUGGCAUCUCACACCCAGAACAAAAGGGCUUCCCUGCUCAACCCAAGAAAAAAAAGUCUGUUGAGCUUCACCAAACAUAAGAAUCACCCCCAAAGGCACCACAUCCCCAGUUUCCUGUGGCCACUGCUGAAAGAUUCUCAGAAGAAACUCCUGGUCGAAAGAAACCACAGUAAGCCUAUAGGAAAACCAAAAAUAUGCCAACAUGAACAGAAUUCCUCAUUUUCAAAAAAUUAUAGAACUCUUCCAUAGAUUCCAAACUUUUGACUUCUGUAUCAAAGACAUCAAUGUAUGACUGAAAAAUGAAUUGGGCUGGAAAGGGAAUGAAAAUGAAGGAGAAAGAGGGGCAGUCUGAGGGCUCCAUGGGUACAAACCAAAUGUUAAAAGAGCAACAAGAUUCUAACAUGUUGAAUAGAUCAUCUCUGGAGAUUUUGGGGAAGAUAUGGACAAGAAAAGAAGAGGAUGAGAAGUCUGGAAAUCAAAAGCAACACAGAUGAAUGAAUCAAUGAAUGCACAGAUUUACUGAAGUAUGCAAAAAAUGUAACAAACAGAAUACACUGUAGGUUUUUUCCCCCUAACAAAUGUAUCAUUUAACUCAGAAUUCACAUGUUAGCAUAGAUAAAUAUAUCUUAUGCCCAUAAAUAAAGAAGUUUCAGGAAUGUUUUAGAGGUACAACCCUAUUACACAAAUUUUGUAUUUAUUUUCCCUUUAAAAUACUUUCUCUCCAAGUCCACCUAUUUCACAAAAGACUAGAGUCUUAAUUAGUAUGUAUUGUUCACACAUGGGUGUUUAAUAAAUAGUUGGUUAUAAUUUAAAUUAUGUUCCUUAUCUCUACUUCUGGGCCAUCUUCAAAUUGCUAUCUAGAAGCUACUCAAGACAAAAACUGUCUUAUAUUAAAAGAUCUCUUCCUACCACAUAAUUCAAAUUACAUUUAUGGUCCAUGGUUAUUAUGCUAAUAUAAAUGGAAUUCCAUUUACAUUUCUGGCUGGUCACUGCAUUCUUGCACCCAAUCUCUGAGACACAAAAGUCAACAGAUAAGAUUCUCCUUUUUGUCUUAUUUUAAGUAAAUAAAAUACAAAAAACAAGACAAGUAGAUCCAUUGUUAACUCUUUUGCUAAUGAAAGGUCAUACUGGUUUGCAGAUGCUUUAUUACUGCUCAGAGAUAGAAUUAUUUAGCCAAUAAAAGCCUGGAGAAGAUACACAUGUCUACCUCUGAGGAAUUCCUUACAUGUUAAGACUGACAGCCUGUCAUCCAAGAUUGGGUUUAAAAAAGUAGACUUAGAAACAGAUGAUGCCAUAUUAAAAAAAAUUAUAGAAUUUAAUCUUUGUUGUACUGUUUUCUGUGGGGAAUUUCACUCUGUAGGAGUGAAGGAACUCAGAUGUCAUACCAGCCUUCUAACUUUGGAAACAAGUAUACACAUUCAUUUUAAGCAUUUUUGGGACAGAAAGAUUUUUGGGGGAGGAGGUCUUUUUGAAAGCUCUAAACGUUAAAAGAAAGUAAUAUAUUUUUAAAAGGAAUAGAAGCUUUGUGACAACAACAACAAAAAAAAAGGUUCUAACGUAUAGUAGAUUCUCAGCAAGAUAUAACUAAUGUGCAUAAUGUAGUUAUACUCCCCUCCCCCUAUAACCCUUUAAAAUCAUAAAUAGAUUAAGAGCCCCUCUGAAUUUUUUUAAAAACCAAUCUGACAACUAGUGCUACUGGAGACUGUGUCUAUCUACUGAGUACAAUCUCAAGAUAAAAUGUUCUUGUGGUAAAAGCCAGAGGUGAGACAAUGAUGAUCUAUCUUCUAUGGAAUACAUCCACCAAAAUGAACCUGUGACACGCUUGCAAUGAAAUACAAUAGCGUGGUCAUAUUCACAGAAGUCAGUCUGGUGAGAUUAAACAUAUCAGUGGCCAUGGUAAAUAAAGCUUCAUGUAUUAAUGUCUUAAUCAUUUUAUAUAACUAUAUUCACCUACUGAGGAAUACAAAAAUAGCUUGUAAAAUUAGGUCAAAUUUUGGAGCCUGAAUAAAUUUUAUCUUCUUCUGAGGAGCCAGUACAAAACAGAGGAAAAAGAGAACAGAUGCCUGGUGAUAUCCAGAAUCAGGGGGUUGUAACUGGUAGCUUACUUUAGAAUGAAAAGUGUGGAAAUUUCUGACAUAUUUUAUGUUUUUUCCAACCAACAAAAUGAGAUAAAUGAUUACCGAAAGGGUAAGUGAUAUCAAAACAUGACAGGAUUACUAAAAUGCCAAGUUAUAGAUAGAAACAUUAAGGAACCUACCUAAGCUGCCAUACAAUAAUAUUAGUUUUAUUUUUCUUUUAAAAACAUCAACAGCACAUAUUUUAGAGAAAAUGUCAGGAAAGAAGGUUUGGAAUCAUUGUUCAAGGGCACAUUAGUUUAUUUCUAUGUGAAUUAAAAAUGGCUUGAUUUUCUACACAUAUAUACAUAGCCAUGGAUAUAAUAUCAAGCAGUAUCCUAUCUGGAAAGCUCUGACUUUAAUCACACAAUUACAAAAUGGAAAGUACAUUUUGUCCAAGCUGACACCACCAUUAAAUCAGGAGGCCUGUUGGCAGACUUGUUGACAUUGCAAGAAUUCCCGGAAAGCAUUAACUCCAGCAUUAAUAAAAUCGCAGUAAAUAGAUGGCGCCUCUUGGGUGAUUUAGGAAAUAAGGUUACUGGCCU
This is a non-coding RNA of Monodelphis domestica (gray short-tailed opossum), 2925 nucleotides long. The record is from RefSeq and is a predicted model, not a curated record. NCBI's taxonomy places the organism in Eukaryota, Metazoa, Chordata, Mammalia, Didelphimorphia, Didelphidae.